UGCAGUCGAACGGUAACACGAGAGCUUGCUCUCGAUGACGAGUGGCGCACGGGUGCGUAACGCGUAUGCAACUUACCCCAAACUGGAGAAUAGCCUUUAGAAAUGAAGAAUAAUACUCCAUAGUAUUCCAGAGAGGCAUCUCUUUGGUCUUAAAGCUUCGGCGGUUUGGGAUAGGCAUGCGUUCUAUUAGUUAGUUGGUGAGGUAAUGGCUCACCAAGACCACGAUAGAUAGGGGGCCUGAGAGGGUUAUCCCCCACACUGGUACUGAGACACGGACCAGGCUCCUACGGGAGGCAGCAGUGAGGAAUAUUCCACAAUGGACGAAAGUCUGAUGGAGCCAUGCCGCGUGCAGGAUGAAUGCCUUCUGGGUUGUAAACUACUUUUAUAUAGGAAGAAAACGCCAUGCGUGGUAAUAUGACGGUACUAUAUGAAUAAGCACCGGCUAACUCCGUGCCAGCAGCCGCGGUAAUACGGAGGGUGCAAGCGUUGUCCGGAUUUAUUGGGUUUAAAGGGUGCGUAGGCGGUUUAUUAAGUCGGAGUUGAAAUCCCACAGCUUAACUGUGGAACUGGCUCCGAUACUGGUUAACUUGAGUAUGAUUGAGGUAGGCGGAAUUUAAGAUGUAGCGGUGAAAUGCAUAGAUAUCUUAAAGAACACCAAUUGCGUAGGCAGCUUACUGGACCAUAACUGACGCUGAGGCACGAAAGCGUG
Molecule: ribosomal RNA, 709 nt
Filed under: uncultured marine bacterium
Lineage: Bacteria
Description: bacterial SSU rRNA
Rfam family: Bacterial small subunit ribosomal RNA
Source: RNAcentral